UACGGAGGGUGCAAGCGUUAAUCGGAAUUACUGGGCGUAAAGCGCACGCAGGUGGCUGAGUCAGUCGAUUGUGAAAGCCCUGGGCUUAACCUGGGAAUUGCAGUCGAUACUACUCAGCUAGAGUAUGGGAGAGGGUAGUGGAAUUCCCGGUGUAGCGGUGAAAUGCGUAGAUAUCUGGAGGAACACCGGUGGCGAAGGCGGCGUUCUGGACUGUUACUGACACUGAGGAACGAAAGCCAGGGGAGCAAACGGG
This 253-nucleotide ribosomal RNA is filed under the name uncultured bacterium. Its description in RNAcentral is "partial 16S ribosomal RNA". It matches the Rfam family "Bacterial small subunit ribosomal RNA", at positions 524 to 776 of the family's 1533-position model. The record is from RNAcentral.